RNAcentral lists this ribosomal RNA (255 nucleotides) under uncultured bacterium. RNAcentral describes it as "partial 16S ribosomal RNA". It matches the Rfam family "Bacterial small subunit ribosomal RNA", at positions 524 to 778 of the family's 1533-position model. The record is from RNAcentral.
UACGUAGGGUGCAAGCGUUGUCCGGAAUUAUUGGGCGUAAAGAGCUCGUAGGCGGUUUGUCGCGUCUGCUGUGAAAACCCGAGGCUCAACCUCGGGCCUGCAGUGGGUACGGGCAGACUAGAGUGCGGUAGGGGAGAUUGGAAUUCCUGGUGUAGCGGUGGAAUGCGCAGAUAUCAGGAGGAACACCGAUGGCGAAGGCAGAUCUCUGGGCCGUAACUGACGCUGAGGAGCGAAAGCAUGGGGAGCGAACAGGAU